UACGGAGGAUCCAAGCGUUAUCCGGAUUCAUUGGGUUUAAAGGGUGCGUAGGCGGAAUGAUAAGUCAGUGGUGAAAGCCUGCAGCUUAACUGCAGAACUGCCAUUGAUACUGUCAAUCUUGAGUAUAUUUGAUGUGGGCGGAAUGUGUCAUGUAGCGGUGAAAUGCUUAGAUAUGACACAGAACACCGAUUGCGAAGGCAGCUCACAAAAACUAUAAACUGACGCUGAGGCACGAAAGCGUGGGUAUCAAACAGG
RNAcentral lists this ribosomal RNA (255 nucleotides) under uncultured bacterium. Its description in RNAcentral is "partial 16S ribosomal RNA". It matches the Rfam family "Bacterial small subunit ribosomal RNA", at positions 524 to 776 of the family's 1533-position model. The record is from RNAcentral.